GACCUGCAUUUCCCGUGUCCCUCCCUGGAGUGGAGCAAGGACCUGCCUGGGCAGCAGGGGGCCGCCUCCUGCCGAGCCUUGGAGACGGGGGACCCUGCAGGCCGACUCCCUGGCCUCCUGUCCUUCCUUCUCUGGGCACGGCUCACACUGUCCCUUCCUAGAGCGCUGCCCCUCCACGUCCCGAACCCAGACUCCCCCCCCAGCUCGUGCCCGCUCCAGAGACAGGCUGAAUGACCCAUGCUCUCUCCGCCAGGCCCCGACCCCUGAGUGUGAGGGACGUGUGCGCAGGACAAUUGACAGCCCUGUCCUUAGACCCCUCGGCCUGAGCCCAAGCCCACAGCCUCUUCUCACCAAGGCCCCUUGCUGAGCCUCAGUCUGCACAUCUGCAGAAAGGCGCCUCGUGGAGAGUGGGCAGGUCACAAGGGCGGUGCCCGGCGCAGGGAGCUCAGCGCAGCUCUGCCAGGUGGACAGGUUCACCUGAGGCCCAGAAGGGGCAGCCGUCCAGGGAAGAAGGCUCAGGUGCCCUCGGACACGGCAGGGCCUGCAGACGACCUGGCCUGCUCUCCCCUCCCAGCACACUCGCAGACUCGGAGCCAUCCUGGAGGCGUCUGGGGUACUCACUGCCCUACUGUCCACCACAAGAGCCAGUGUCCAGCCACCGGGGUGAGCCUUGAAAACGCUCCCUGCUCCACUCUGCCGGCUCCCACCUCCCGCAGCACAUGGCAGAGGCUCACGCAGCCUGCGUCGACUGUCCCCAGGUCUGUGAUCAGCUUCCACUGCCCCAUCCGUGCCACAGCCACACCCACAGGUCCCACUGGAGACCCUGCUCUCACCGCUCCCCGGGACGGCCCUAUCCCAGCCCCUGGGCCCCCAGAGCCAUUGGUAAAUGGUGACCGGGGGGAUGACAGGAGGGUGACGAGCCCCUUCACUCAUUCAACCUACUGCACGUGACUAGAGCUGGCAUCAAUCAGCAGAGCCUGGUGACAGCCGAGCCCCAGGCUGAUUGAAAGGGUCUGCCCCCGUCCUCCACAGUGGGCCGUAAAUGUGUAACUGAUCAAUCAACAAACCAUCAAUAACUACUGCACCGUGACAGGGCAGGGUCACUACGUGCACACAGUGGCUUGGACGUCUGCCCAGAGAGGCGGAGCAGGUCUGAUGGGCACCAGGGGCUCCUCUUGGGUCUCAGUUAAGACCUGGAUGAUCCCUCAGGAUCAAGGACGGAGGACAGGUCUCCUGUGACCAACGGGCCAAACUGAGUAGCCUAAAGGUAGACCUCUGCUCACAGUCUGGGCACGGGAGCCCAAAAGGGGCUGUGGGUCCCUCCAGGAUCCUCAGGAGGAGCCCUCCCACUUCCUCCAGGUUCUGGGGCCCCCAUGUUCCCUGGCCUCGUCACUGCAGUCUCUGCCUGUGUCUUCUGUGGCCUCUUCCUCUUCUGGCCCUCACAAGACACUUGAUGCUAGGCCCACAGGAUCAUGCAGGAUGACCUCACCCCAAAGUCACUUUGUAUUCAUCCACUUCCUGUUUGCC
RNAcentral lists this long non-coding RNA (1527 nucleotides) under Marmota monax (woodchuck). Lineage: Eukaryota; Metazoa; Chordata; Mammalia; Rodentia; Sciuridae. The record is from RNAcentral.